UACAGAGGGUGCAAACGUUGCUCGGAAUCAUUGGGCGUAAAGCGCACGUAGGCGGCCUAGCAAGUAGGGAGUGAAAGCCCUCGGCUUAACCGAGGAAGUGCUUUCUAAACUACUAGGCUUGAAUACUGGAGAGGGUCGCGGAAUUCCCGGUGUAGAGGUGAAAUUCGUAGAUAUCGGGAGGAACACCGGCGGCGAAGGCGGCGACCUGGGUCGAGACUGACGCUGAGGCGCGAAAGCGUGGGGAGCAAACAGG
This 253-nucleotide ribosomal RNA is filed under the name uncultured bacterium. RNAcentral's name for it is "partial 16S ribosomal RNA". It matches the Rfam family "Bacterial small subunit ribosomal RNA", at positions 524 to 776 of the family's 1533-position model. The record is from RNAcentral.